This is a long non-coding RNA of Lotus japonicus, 2253 nucleotides long. RefSeq lists it as uncharacterized. Lineage: Eukaryota; Viridiplantae; Streptophyta; Magnoliopsida; Fabales; Fabaceae. The transcript has 3 exons. The record is from RefSeq and is a predicted model, not a curated record.
AGGAACACACUCCCCCAUAUCUCUCUCUCUCUCACCCUCCCUUCAGAUCCCUUCCAUUUCCAAGUUCCAACCCUCUUCCUCUUCUUCUGCGCCUCCACUUUCCCAUUUUCACUUCCAGUUUCCUUCACUCAAAAACACACAUCUCACAGAGAAGAAGAAGAAGCAGAAGCAGAAGCAGAAGCAGAAGAAGAAAACAAAAAUCUCCUACACUAGUUGUGUUCGAGAAUUUUCCGUAUUAGGUUUCAUUUCGUUUCUGUGAAGAAGAUCUGGGUGAUCUGAACCACUGAACAACAAUCUGGGUGGUUGAUUGAAUCAACGAGGUUGUUGUGGGGAAUCUACUUGUUCAAUUUUGGUUCAUUUGUGAGUUGUGAUCGAUUUCUGAUACCUUUGUAGUGGAUCAUCAUCAUAGAAUUGUGAUCUGUUUGUGUUAUCUAUGGAGAUGCUUGUUGUGGCACAGCACAGGUCUAAGUCUCAAGGCCAUGGUGGAUUUGGGUAUCCUUCACCUUCAAGGCAUUUCAGAGGGAUGAAUUGUAGGGCUUUUCAAACUGGAUCUGGUAUUCUACCAACUCCAUUGAAAUCUUGCACCACACCUGAACCUAAAAAAACAUCCUCAGCUUCAUCAAAAACAGUUUUAACUACUCCGAACUCGAACCCGCGGACCAAAACCCGUUGCAAAACUACCCCCGGCAGUGCCCCGGUUGCUAUCAAAGUGAAAGGCUGUAAGAAGGAGAGAAUUUUCUGUGAGAAUGUUUGUGAUAGGAGCUUUUUGCUAUCUGAACUUUGGGCUGGACCUACUUACUCAAAUUCACCGCCACCGAGUUCCUUGCCUAUCCCGAAAUUCUCUGUUAAACCGAAGAGGACUGUUUCCCUUGAUCUGCCUAGUUCCUGCCCUAAGAUUGAAAUGCACCUAAUGGCCAAGUCUGCACCUUGCUCCCCUCGCCGGGAGUAUUCUCCUUCUGCCAGUGAUUUCCUUGCCAAUGCUGAUUCUGCGACCAAGACUUUGCGUCGCAUUCUCAACCUUGACUUGGAUGAUGAUGAAUGAAACUCCGUGAGAAGCCGUUUACUGUAAAUAAGCCUCUUUUAAAUUAAGUUGGGUUAGUUUUAGAUUAGAUGUGAAUAGAGUGACUAAAUAAGAGUUAUGGUCUGAGUUGGUUUGAGUUUGUGUAGCUUUCAGUAAUGGUGGUGACUGCACCUACAAUGGUGAAGUGAUAAUUUAUGGCUGUGGUGGGUCGACAAUCUCCAUCAAAGCUUAAAGCCUUAAACGGUAUGUGGGAUGUGAGGCUCUUUUGGAGCAGGUUUUGCUAUGUGUGACUCAUGUGACAUGGAUGGAAGCUUCUGCUGGGGAAAUGGGUGGGAAGCAGAAUGAUAGCAAUGGAUCAGAGUUGCAUGGAAUGGACAUGGUUGUCGGUGUUUUAUUUCAUUUGGCCUGAAGAAGUUAUUAGUAUUUUAACUGAAUCCUGAAUUCAUGGUAUGUAGUUCACAGCAUCAUCUCCUCGUAGAAUGAUUAACCUCUUGCCUCAGUACAUACUGUAGAUUGUAGAGUCCUGCACUUACAAAAACCCUUUUAGAGCUCAAUCCUUUUCUUCUUUAGCCUCCUUCAAAUUUUAGUUUCUUAUUUAUAGUCUUCUAGAUGAUCUACUCUUUACAAGCCAGCAGUUACUACCUUGCCUACUUAUCCUUCUUUUCUCCCUUAACCUAUCUUUUGUUUCUCUUCUUUUAAUUUCUCUUUUCUUUAGCUUAUCCCUUCACAUCUUUUCUGUUUUUUUACAAAGAAAAGUUGGAAGGGUUUUAGUUAUAUAAUCUUCUGCAGCUGGCUGCUUUAGUUUUCUAGGGUUAAUCAGUGUUAUGCAACCUGUUAGUUACUACUAGCCCUUUAUGAUGUUUUCCAUACCUUUGGUUAAUGCUUCUUUCCUUAGUCUUCACCUGGCUUACUGUCGAUGGAGAGUGUUGACCGUGCUAUGCCGAAAUUAAGGUGCAAGUGAAACUGUACCGAGGCUGCUUCGUUCAAAGACGUGGUCAUGGCAUGAUCAUUCAAUUUACUGGUUAGAUUGCAAGUCUGUUUGUGUUUGUCUUCAUGGAAGUUCCUUGUGGUUUGUAAAUUUCCUAGUGUUUAUUUCUUUGUGCUUCGGUAACUGGUGGAACUUGUAGGAUCUGCUGAAAUAAAUCGUUGUGUACUAUUAUCUAUUAUCUAUGGACUGUGUUAUAUCUGAAUUAAGAACUAAGUACUUGAUUUAUGUUACAUUUCUUUGAACA